Molecule: long non-coding RNA, 1271 nt
Organism: Suricata suricatta (meerkat)
Lineage: Eukaryota; Metazoa; Chordata; Mammalia; Carnivora; Herpestidae
Exons: 3
Source: RefSeq, a predicted model, not a curated record
AGGCCCCGCGGGCCGGCGGGUCACCCAGGGGCGCGCACCCUCGGCGCUGGGGGUUGUCGAGCCCGGAGUUCCUCCCCUGGAGGAACUUUUCGGCCGGUGGGGAGGCCGCGGGGAGGCCGCGGGGAGGCCGCGGGGAGGUGGACGGGAGCCGCGCGGGGACACCGUGCGUCUGCAGCAGCGAAGCCCCUUCGCCCCGCGGCUACGCCGGCGAGGAGGCACCAGCGGGCCACGCGAGCAGCCCUCCCAGGGACAGGCCAGAGAACACGAGCUCGGGGACAGAGAAGCAACCGCAGGUCACACGAAAUGAAAGGCCGCUAACAGUGCCAUAGCGGUACCCAGGCGAUGCCCAGCGGGCAUUCCCAGGCAGAGCGCGAGCGGCAGCGGCCAGCCAGUAGCAGCCGGACUGCAUGCGUUGCCCUGCGGUGUGUGCGGAGCUGGUCCCCAAACAGGGAAACAUGAACCAGCUGUCAGCGCUGCGCGGAGGCCUGGGUGAAGGGUGCGUGUCCCCUCAGAGGGGCCGCGAACGCUGCUCCCAGACAAGAUGACAAUUCCCAGAAAUAAGUUUUAGCCACAAACCUCAGUGGAACCGUCUGAAAGCAGCCCCCCUCCCCCCGCAGUAGUGGCUAGAAAUAUGGGCUCCAGCUGCACGCUAAUGUACGUCUUGACCUGCAUUAGGAAUGGCUUCUGUGGACAAAGACCCUGCUCUCCGGCAGCUGUGGAGAUGAAAUCAACUUUGCUAAUAUUGGCCGAAUUAUUUCAGGCAGAUAUCCUCUAAAAUUCAUUUGAUAAAUAGCCAAUAACUUGGUACAGCAGGUCCAUUCAUUUUAUUGCUUAGAAGCCGCGGGUACCUUGGGCAACUGGUUCACACUGUCGGAUUCAUCACAAAACUCAAAAUGGCCAAGGUUGUGCAUGUCGGGCUUCGAUACUGUAUAAAUGAUGUGUCCUCAUCAGUGUAUCGCUUCUGGACUCACAAUGUGUCCAUCUGUCCCUCAUCCGUGAUGUUAUUUUGAUCACAGAGUCAAGGAAUACUCAAGAGGUUCCUCAAGUCAGAAGAACUUUGGAAUUUUCUUCUCCCUUUAUGCAUCCGUUACUCUGUUGGUGGAUUCCUAGUCCAAACAAAGACUUUGAGAAUUUUGUCUCAUGUCUUAUUAAAGUAUGCCCUAUAGAUGCUUGAAUGUCAGUUAAAAUUAUGUUCUAGUAAUUAUUUAACCAUCUUCUAUAGGUUUUUCAUUGUUUCUAAUAUUGUACUAGCAAAUCCUUAUCCUGCCUAA